This 441-nucleotide ribosomal RNA is filed under the name uncultured Pelagibacterales bacterium. RNAcentral's name for it is "bacterial SSU rRNA". It matches the Rfam family "Bacterial small subunit ribosomal RNA", at positions 1077 to 1533 of the family's 1533-position model. The record is from RNAcentral. Lineage: Bacteria; Pseudomonadati; Pseudomonadota; Alphaproteobacteria; Candidatus Pelagibacterales.
UGGGUAGUCCGCACGAGCGCACCUUACUUUUAGUUGCUAUCAUUCAGUUGGGCACUCUAAAAGAACUGCCAGUGAUAAGCUGGAGGAAGGUGGGGAUGACGUCAAGUCCUCAUGGCCCUUAUGUGUUGGGCUACACACGUGCUACAAUGGUAUUUACAAUGGGAUGCAAAGAGGCAACUCCUAGCAAACCCUCAAAAAAUACCUCAGUUCGGAUUGUACUCUGCAACUCGAGUACAUGAAGCUGGAAUUACUAGUAAUCGCGGAUCAGCGCGCCGCGGUGAAUACGUUCCCGGGUCUUGUACACACCGCCCGUCACACCAUGGAAGUUGGUUACACCUUAAGGCAAAGUGUAAAAUCUUUGACUACGGUACGAUCAGCGACUGGGGUGAAGUCGUAACAAGGUAGCCGUAGGGGAACCUGCGGCUGGAUCACCUCCUUUCU